GGCUACGUAGCUCAGUUGGUUAGAGCACCGCAUUCAUAAUGCGGGUGUCGGCGGUUCAAGUCCGCCCGUAGCUA
RNAcentral lists this transfer RNA (74 nucleotides) under Methylocaldum marinum. It matches the Rfam family "tRNA". Rfam says of the family: Transfer RNA (tRNA) molecules are approximately 80 nucleotides in length. Their secondary structure includes four short double-helical elements and three loops (D, anti-codon, and T loops). Further hydrogen bonds mediate the characteristic L-shaped molecular structure. tRNAs have two regions of fundamental functional importance: the anti-codon, which is responsible for specific mRNA codon recognition, and the 3' end, to which the tRNAs corresponding amino acid is attached (by aminoacyl-tRNA synthetases). tRNAs cope with the degeneracy of the genetic code in two manners: having more than one tRNA (with a specific anti-codon) for a particular amino acid; and 'wobble' base-pairing, i.e. permitting non-standard base-pairing at the 3rd anti-codon position. The record is from Rfam by way of RNAcentral. Lineage: Bacteria; Pseudomonadati; Pseudomonadota; Gammaproteobacteria; Methylococcales; Methylococcaceae.